GGUAACGAGCGAGACCCACGCCAACAGUUGCUAGCUCGUCCUCCGGGAUGGAGAGGACACUGUUGGGACCGCCUCUGCCAAAGAGGAGGAAGGAAUGGGCAACGGUAGGUCAGCAUGCCCCGAAUUAACUGGGCUACACGCGGGCUACAAUGGGUGGGACAAUGGGUAUCGACACCGAAAGGUGAAGGCAAUCUCCUAAACCCAUCCUUAGUUCGGAUUGUGGGCUGCAACUCGCCCACAUGAAGCUGGAAUCCGUAGUAAUCGUAUCUCAAUAUGGUACGGUGAAUAUGUCCCUGCUCCUUGCACGAAUUCGCCG
Molecule: ribosomal RNA, 316 nt
Filed under: uncultured Methanomicrobiales archaeon
Lineage: Archaea; Methanobacteriati; Methanobacteriota; Methanomicrobia; Methanomicrobiales
Description: bacterial SSU rRNA
Rfam family: Archaeal small subunit ribosomal RNA
Source: RNAcentral